Molecule: long non-coding RNA, 838 nt
Organism: Protobothrops mucrosquamatus (brown spotted pit viper)
Lineage: Eukaryota; Metazoa; Chordata; Lepidosauria; Squamata; Viperidae
Exons: 2
Source: RefSeq, a predicted model, not a curated record
CUGUGCUAGGUUUAUCAGAAAUGUGGCAAGCUCAUUAAUUGGGAAUACUUUUCAAAUGAUCCUGGAGGAGUUCAUGAGCAAGUGGAAUUGAAUAGGCUGUCUGUCUUGGUUCUUAAAUGUACAAUAUAUAUAUAUAUAUUUACAUUGCCUCUAGUGAGGAAAUAAUUUAUGCAUAUAAUUUCUCUUGGAUAGACCUGUCCAUGAUUUUAUCUAAACAUUCCAGUCAUUGCCGCAAUUUCAUAAACUAAAUAGAAUAUAAUGUUCCAUAUUCCAGUGUAUAUAUUGAAUAUUCUUUUUUUUCCCCACAGCUUUUCUCCUGCAUCUAAUGCAGAGGACUGUGAUCCAUAAAAAUGUGUGCAUUGCUAUAAGAUGCCACGGAAUUCUUCAUUGUUCAUGCAUAGAUCUUUCCAAAUCUUAUCCCACUCAGUAUCGGUACCUUAAAUAUGAAGAAUCAGCUGUCUUUGGUAUUGGCUGUCUGCAUUUGAACACCAUCCCAGGAACCCUAUUCAGGCGGUCCCUGCUUCAAAAUGUCAUCUGCGGUGGCAACUCAGUUGCAAACAAGCAAGGUUGCUAGAAGCAUCUCUCCACUGCCCUCUCCAUUCCCAUCUACGCAGUUUAGCAGUUUGAACUGAACCAGAUAGUAUGUCAAGCGGGAAACAGAAAUUGAGAACGGUCAUAUGGAAGUUGUCAAGCGCCAUCUUGUGGUCAGAGAAAAAUCCUACAAAUGCUGCUUAAGUUGAUUUUAAUAUCAAACUAUAGACACUGACCCAAAAUGACUGCUGUGGCUGCCACAUUUUGUACCCUCCAUGCACUGAAUAAAACCUCAAUAUAUCAAUGC